Molecule: non-coding RNA, 326 nt
Organism: Schizosaccharomyces pombe (fission yeast)
Lineage: Eukaryota; Fungi; Ascomycota; Schizosaccharomycetes; Schizosaccharomycetales; Schizosaccharomycetaceae
Source: the annotation of a GenBank genome assembly
ACAAGCGCUGGGGAUUUAGUAGAGUACUUAGAGUAACACCUUCCAUCUGAGGACAAAAAUCGAAUAAAUUUUAACACGUGAAAAUAAUAGGCACAGCUAAAACUGCGAUUGUAAAUUAUACAUUCUACGAUACGAGCAAAUAAGUAUUCGUUUAAAAGGGAUACUGUUGUGUUAUUGACUUACUAUUAGAAUUCGACAUUACUAAAAUUUAACUAAUUGAGUAAUUGUUUCUGAAAUUUAUUCCUUAUUUUAGAUUUUAUUUAAAGUAUGUAGUUUAAAAAAAAAAAAAAUUAAACGUUAUACCCAUACUUAGUUGGCUACCAUUA